AUCUAUAUAUUAUAUAAAAUAUAUUUGACUUCCAAUCAAAAAAACUAAUUAAAUUAGUAUAGAUA
This 65-nucleotide transfer RNA is filed under the name Lathrobium brunnipes. RNAcentral's name for it is "tRNA-Gly". The record is from RNAcentral. Lineage: Eukaryota; Metazoa; Arthropoda; Insecta; Coleoptera; Staphylinidae.